AGGGUUUGAUCAUGGCUCAGAAUGAACGUUGGCGGCGUGGAUUAGGCAUGCAAGUCGCGCGACAAGGUUUCUUUAGCUUGCUAUUGAAACCAGAGGAGCGGCGAAAGGGAGAGUAACGCGUGGAUACCUGCCCUUGGCUCCGGGAUAGCGUCGGGAAACUGGCGGUAAUACCGGAUAAUAUCCCCGGAUCAAAGGUGUGAUUCCGGCCGAGGAUGGGUCCGCGUCCUAUUAGGUUGUUGGUGAGGUAAUGGCUCACCAAGCCAAAGAUGGGUACCGGGUGUGAGAGCAUGGCCCGGCUCACUGGGACUGAGACACUGCCCAGACACCUACGGGUGGCUGCAGUCGAGAAUCUUCCGCAAUGGGCGCAAGCCUGACGGAGCGACGCCGCGUGCGGGAUGAAGGCCUUCGGGUUGUAAACCGCUGUCAGUAGGGAGCAAAUGCAUCAGGGCAAUCUCUGAUGUUUGAGCGAUCUGCAGAGGAAGUCCGGGCUAAGUACGUGCCAGCAGCCGCGGUAACACGUACCGGACGAACGUUAUUCGGAAUCACUGGGCUUAAAGAGUCCGUAGGCGGCUCGGUAGGUGAGGUGUGAAAUCCCACGGCUCAACCGUGGAACUGCGCUUCAAACCACCGGGCUUGAGGGAGAUAGAGGUGAGCGGAACUGAUGGUGGAGCGGUGAAAUG
RNAcentral lists this ribosomal RNA (680 nucleotides) under uncultured bacterium. Its description in RNAcentral is "bacterial SSU rRNA". It matches the Rfam family "Bacterial small subunit ribosomal RNA", at positions 8 to 688 of the family's 1533-position model. The record is from RNAcentral.